This 244-nucleotide unclassified non-coding RNA is filed under the name uncultured bacterium. Its description in RNAcentral is "contains 16S-23S intergenic spacer region". The record is from RNAcentral.
UCCGGUUUGAACCCGGCACUCACUGCUUUCGCAGUAAUUCUCAGGAUGUCAAGACCAGGUAAGGUUCUUCGCUUACCAUCGAAUUAAACAACACGCUCCACCGCUUGUGCGGGUCCCCGCCAAUUCCUUUGAGUUUUAGUCUUGCGACCGUACUCCCCAGGCGGGAUGCUUAACGCGUUAGCUUCGCUACAUACCGGGUCGAUACGGCAUACAGCUAGCAUCCAUAGUUUACAGCGUGGACUAC